Molecule: transfer RNA, 74 nt
Filed under: bacterium
Lineage: Bacteria
Description: tRNA-Ala
Rfam family: tRNA
About the family: Transfer RNA (tRNA) molecules are approximately 80 nucleotides in length. Their secondary structure includes four short double-helical elements and three loops (D, anti-codon, and T loops).
Source: RNAcentral
GGGCCCGUAGCUCAGCCCGGUAGAGCACCUCGUUUGCAACGAGGGGGUCAGCGGUUCGAUCCCGCUCGGGUCCA